UCACAAAGGAACAAUUAUUGAAAUCUAUAGAAUGAGUCGCAAGAAGAUGCAAAGACCGUGGCGGGUGGAUGAUUUUGAUGCUUUUAAAGAGAGAAUGUUAGGGUUUGGAGACAAAAAGCCUCAGCCACAUAAAAGAGCACUGCUUUUUGUUGACAACUCAGGUGCAGAUAUUGUUUUAGGGAUGCUUCCCCUUGCAAGGGAACUUCUCCGGCGUGGAACUGAAGUUGUACUGGUAGCGAACUCACUUCCUGCACUAAAUGAUGUUACUGCAAUGGAGUUGCCUGAUAUUGUUGCUGAGGCUGCAAAGCACUGUGAUAUUCUUCGAGGAGCAGCUGAAGCAGGAGGUUUGCUUGUUGACGCUAUGAGUAAUAUCCAAGAUGGUUACAAGGAAAAUACACCUUCCGUUCCUCUAAUGGUUGUGGAGAAUGGAUGUGGCAGUCCAUGCAUAGACUUGAGGCAAGUGAGCUCAGAGUUAGCAGCUGCAGCCAAAGAUGCAGAUCUGGUAAUUUUGGAAGGGAUGGGUCGGUCUUUGCAUACCAAUUAUAAUGCAAAGUUCAAAUGUGAUGCUCUCAAGCUUGCUAUGGUGAAGAAUCAGCGAUUGGCAGCAAAAUUGGUUAAAGGGAAUAUUUAUGAUUGUGUCUGUAGAUAUGAACCAGCUAGCUGAAAACUUCCCUUUUUCAUGUAGUUUCGAUUUAUCUCGUCUCUCAGAACUGUCAACCAUACUAGGUAAGCAGGUGUCCCGACAAAUACAAUUAUAAGAUGUAAACCUUCAGAAAUUGUAUUAUUGAACUGCCUAUGAGUCACUUCAUACUCGAGGGUUGCUCUGAAUAGGUUCUGUUACACAUUAAUCCUUCUACUGUAGAUUGUUUUAUUUUCUAGAUUCAAG
RNAcentral lists this unclassified non-coding RNA (886 nucleotides) under Hevea brasiliensis (rubber tree). Lineage: Eukaryota; Viridiplantae; Streptophyta; Magnoliopsida; Malpighiales; Euphorbiaceae. The record is from RNAcentral.